UUUUAAUUUCCGGAUCUCCAGGCGUGAUACCUGCCAGCAGCGAGGAACCGAUAAUGGUCAGCCCAGUCUCUGAAACUAGAGUUGCCCCGAAGGAACCACUUUAUUCUAUAUAUUAAUCAUGUUUUAAUCAUCCUGUAAGGUUGGGAGCAGAGGGUGAUGAGUGGUGGUGACGCUGAUUGUGCGUGAAACAGGUGCGUCAAUCACGUGAAGAGGUCAAACGCAGGGGGAACAUUCAGAAACUCCACGGUGACUUUUUGGACAACAUCCGCGUCCAGAACCAGUUUACCGACCUCAAGAAAGUUGUGGAGAAGUUGAAAGACUUAUUCAGAGAAAAACAAACGGCGGCCUUCUCUGGCUUCACACAGGAACCUGAAAGCUUCCAACUGAACUGUGAUGUUCGCUAUGACUAUUGUGUAGGAAACAUAAACCCUGCUGACCCGCUCGCUUUGGAUGCGUCAACUUUACGCAUUUUUUACGCACGGAAUCUGUGGACUGUGUGGACAUCUUCAGCUCUUCGUGGCUGCCAAGAAGGACUUUUUUAUCUGCAGCUGGGCCGCUGAACUCUGUACAAGGAAACAAAGGACAAUGGACUUGGAAUAAGAAGCCGCUUCGUACAUGCUGAGAGCCUUAGCAGAGCUCAGCUGACGCCCACAGACUGCUGGCAUCCUGCAUGAAAACGGAGAGGAGGAGGAGGAAGAAGAAGGAAGCGCUCCAGAAAGGAGGAAACUUCACCGGGAAGAGUCACAGGAUGAAGCCCAGAUGCCUCCUCUCCAGCGUGGACAGACUUCCCACCAUCAGUGAGCUGCAGGAGAGCGACGUGGAGGACGGAGAGCCCGACUGCUCCUCACAUACCAUGGAGGAGUACGUGGACUCCAUCAAGGAGCUCUCCCAGCCGGCCCUCUACCCGCUGCACGGGCCCCUCAGGGGUCACCGCCGCUGGACGCUGCGCUCGUGCACCACCGUCACACCUGGAUUUUUAAAUUCCCCGCGGACCUCUGUGGACCUAUCGGAUGUGUCGCUGACAUUAACUGAGCAUGCGAACUGUGACACGCCAUCACGGUUUAGGCAAAACCUGCUGGACAUGCUGGUGGCCCAGUCUCCGUUUGCAGGCCUGGUGUGAGCCUCGGCGAGGGUCUGCUCCCGGCCUGGUCGUCCCUACAGCUCAACGUUUCAUGGCUCAUUUAUGUGAGAAGAAACGGAGCUCUGCGCAAGUGAUGCGGUUCCCUUUGAAGUGCUAAAUGAAGGCAACACAUGAAACAAAAGAUGAAAAGAGAAGAAUAUCAAGGGCAGAACAAACAAAUGAGCCGAGACCGCCUGAGGAGUGAGCGAGCUAUGCGGCUGCAAAGGGCCCCUCGGCCACCAGGGGGCCCUCGAAGAAACAAACUGGAUUUCUCUGGGAUUAAAAUCUCGAUUAAAUUCUUAAAUCCAAUAAAUAAUGACUAAAUAUUUGGGCCCCCGGACAUUAAUUCAAAACAUAAACUCUCCUUCAACUAUAUAUCAUAAUUUAAAUACUUAAAGAUACAGUCCCUUAUUUUUGCUAUCAGACUCCUAUGAGGGCCCCAAACUAAGGAUGAUUUCAAUGCCUAAAUAAAACAAACAAAAAAUAAGUAGUUGUCCAGGGGCCUCGGCCUCCAGGGGCCCACUGACAUGAACUGAAAAUGUGAAAUCUCUUUAAGUUCUGGGUUCUAAUAUAAAUAUCCAAAGACACAACCCAAGACUUUUAUUUCUGGUUUCUGGAAUAAAUUCUCAAACAUAAACUCCCAGAUUUUUGUCAUCAGACUCUUCUUAGGACUUCAAACAAAGAAUAAUUUAAAAUGCCCAAAUAAAAACAAGUCAAAACUAGUUUGUUAUGGGCCCCUCAGCUGCCAGGGGCCCACUGAAAAGAAGUGAAAAUGUGAGCUCUAUUUAGAUUCUAAUUUUAGCAAGUUUUCCUUCAAGACGUGUGUUUUAAGCUCUUCUGUAGGAGUUUUAAAAUGGCAAAUUAAUAACGAAGUAAACACCUCGGGCCCCUUUGACGUGAACAGAUAAUGUGAACUCACUUUGGACUAAACAUUCAUUGAUACUUGAUGUCUUUGUUUUAUUAUAAAUCUAGCAUAAAAACGAGUUUGUUAUGACAAUAAAAAGCACUUUAAAUGUUUUUGCACUGCAUUCUUGUUGAUACGGUUUAGUGUCCACAGUUGUUUUGUGUAUUUCAAAGAUCUUUUACUGAAUUUUGAAUAAAACUAUUGUGAGAAUAUGAAGAUAAAACGUCUCCAGUUUGCAUGUGAACAUCCCGUCCGACGCCGCCGUCCUUCCUGAUCCUAUGAAGCUGCGAUUCACGUUCAACUGCCUACUUUUAGUUUCUUUUUCUCUCAAGUUCUGCGACCAUGAGAAAAGUGUCUCCAGCUGGGUCUUGGCAGGAAUCGCCUGACUUACGUCCAACAAACAUGUGGUGAAAGAGUCGGAGAGCAGACCCCCCCGGAGACAUUUCCACAGAACAAGCCAGAGUUUUAUUCUGACCCCUUACACAUUGUGCAACACUGCAUAUGUUGAGCACAUCGAGCAGGAACAUGCAGGAUCCCUCAGGAAGGUGGCUGCAUGUCAUAAUGUUCCACAGCAAUAACUGGAACUAUUAGGAAGUUAAUGAUAUGCAGAUAACAAAAGACUUUUGAGCUAUAACUUAUCAUAUAUUGCAACAUUUAUGCACGUAAUGUGGGAUUCCUUUUAAAUCCAACGCGAUGCCGAGGUGCAGACAUCAUCUCUUCUCCAAAGCUCAUUAAAUGAAAGCAGGAGUGAGUUACUGUGAGUGGUAUGAUACACCGCAGUGUGUCAGAGGACUGUCAUAACCCUGAUUUUCUGCAGAGUUCGGCUGUAAUAUCCCAAAAUAUCCCCGCCUGAUGUGUAAACACACUGAAGUGUGGCUUUAAAUAUGAAAUACAGUUGAAGAAAGCCGUGGAAAAGUAGAGCUGUGUGUCACUGCAGGAGCUCUGAGUGGAGGUGAGGCCAUCAGGAGGAUCUUAAAUCGUCAUCCUGAAAUACAACAAUAACGGAACAUAAAGACAAUUUUGGGAUUACGGCUGUGAGCUGCCAGCCUCCGGUCGAGACAUGAGCUGCAGCCACAGAGGAAUAACUGGAAAUGUCAGCUUUUAGAGCGGAUGGAUUGUCAUAACCCCUGAAAAACAGUCAUGCUACGUUUGCUUUGCAUGAUGUUGUCAUUUCACAGGAUACAGAGCUGCACUGUUCGGCUUCGUCUCAGCAUGACCGCCGAGCUGACGGUGCUGAGGUUUUUUUUGGGGGUUUAAUUGCAGUUUGGUAUGUUUGAUGCAGAGCUCAGCAAUCAAUCGAUUUGAAAUCACAGCUUCAGACAGUGCAGUUAGCAAAUGGCAGAGGUUGCAAUUUAGGAUGUGCAUGUCCCAGCACGUCUGAAACACUUUAAACUGUUGUGUGACAGUUAAACUUUUGUAGUAAUGCUUCAACACGUUUUAUCUCGGAUGUACAUUGAAUGCUGAAGUAUGGUUUCAACAAAAAUAAAAAUCAAACUGCAAUAUCCAUCCGGUUCUGCAGU
Amphiprion ocellaris (clown anemonefish) is the source of this 3544-nucleotide long non-coding RNA. The record is from Ensembl. Lineage: Eukaryota; Metazoa; Chordata; Actinopteri; Pomacentridae.